CUUCUUAAUUUUUGAGAAAACAUGGGAAGGGCCUGCUGAAGACAAAAAACUGUUGACCCGCAUCCUGUGUGUCCUGGAUGACCAGAGCUGGACUGGGCACGAAACCCCAUCACCAUGGCAACAGCAUUACCUGCCUGGGUUGUGACAUGACACCAUAUUGGGCCAGGGUGGCAGAUGUCAGGGAGGGGUGCUGUGCCUCAGAAAGGUGCUACCAUCUGUCUGAAGACAUCCCUCUUCUCAGGACAGCAAAGAGCUCAUCACACCCCUGCCACUUCAGACGAGCCCUCCAUUGCUCAGUGCAGGAGAAAAUAUGAACGACUAUCAUUUAUCAAAAACCUACUGGAUGUCAGACAUUGUGCAAAUUUCUCUUUUCGGAUUCAUAUUACAUUUCUGUGAGGUGAUACUCACUGGCUACCUGCUGCAUGCCAUUGUGCUAGAUGAUGAAGAUAAAAGGACGGAUUAGAUCAACCCAGCCCUGUUCUGAUGGCGUUUGUAAAUUAAACUGAUUCUCAAGUA
Suricata suricatta (meerkat) is the source of this 516-nucleotide long non-coding RNA. RefSeq lists it as uncharacterized. The record is from RefSeq and is a predicted model, not a curated record. The transcript has 3 exons. Lineage: Eukaryota; Metazoa; Chordata; Mammalia; Carnivora; Herpestidae.